GUUAAGCGACUAAGCGUACACGGUGGAUGCCCUGGCAGUCAGAGGCGAUGAAGGACGUGCUAAUCUGCGAUAAGCGUCGGUAAGGUGAUAUGAACCGUUAUAACCGGCGAUUUCCGAAUGGGGAAACCCAGUGUGUUUCGACACACUAUCAUUAACUGAAUCCAUAGGUUAAUGAGGCGAACCGGGGGAACUGAAACAUCUAAGUACCCCGAGGAAAAGAAAUCAACCGAGAUUCCCCCAGUAGCGGCGAGCGAACGGGGAGCAGCCCAGAGCCUGAAUCAGUGUGUGUGUUAGUGGAAGCGUCUGGAAAGGCGCGCGAUACAGGGUGACAGCCCCGUACACAAAAAUGCACAUGCUGUGAGCUCGAUGAGUAGGGCGGGACACGUGGUAUCCUGUCUGAAUAUGGGGGGACCAUCCUCCAAGGCUAAAUACUCCUGACUGACCGAUAGUGAACCAGUACCGUGAGGGAAAGGCGAAAAGAACCCCGGCGAGGGGAGUGAAAAAGAACCUGAAACCGUGUACGUACAAGCAGUGGGAGCACGCUUAGGCGUGUGACUGCGUACCUUUUGUAUAAUGGGUCAGCGACUUAUAUUCUGUAGCAAGGUUAACCGAAUAGGGGAGCCGAAGGGAAACCGAGUCUUAACUGGGCGUUAAGUUGCAGGGUAUAGACCCGAAACCCGGUGAUCUAGCCAUGGGCAGGUUGAAGGUUGGGUAACACUAACUGGAGGACCGAACCGACUAAUGUUGAAAAAUUAGCGGAUGACUUGUGGCUGGGGGUGAAAGGCCAAUCAAACCGGGAGAUAGCUGGUUCUCCCCGAAAGCUAUUUAGGUAGCGCCUCGUGAAUUCAUCUCCGGGGGUAGAGCACUGUUUCGGCAAGGGGGUCAUCCCGACUUACCAACCCGAUGCAAACUGCGAAUACCGGAGAAUGUUAUCACGGGAGACACACGGCGGGUGCUAACGUCCGUCGUGAAGAGGGAAACAACCCAGACCGCCAGCUAAGGUCCCAAAGUCAUGGUUAAGUGGGAAACGAUGUGGGAAGGCCCAGACAGCCAGGAUGUUGGCUUAGAAGCAGCCAUCAUUUAAAGAAAGCGUAAUAGCUCACUGGUCGAGUCGGCCUGCGCGGAAGAUGUAACGGGGCUAAACCAUGCACCGAAGCUGCGGCAGCGACACUAUGUGUUGUUGGGUAGGGGAGCGUUCUGUAAGCCUGUGAAGGUGUGCUGUGAGG
This 1226-nucleotide ribosomal RNA is filed under the name Escherichia coli. Its description in RNAcentral is "partial 23S ribosomal RNA". It matches the Rfam family "Bacterial large subunit ribosomal RNA", at positions 1 to 1268 of the family's 2925-position model. The record is from RNAcentral. Lineage: Bacteria; Pseudomonadati; Pseudomonadota; Gammaproteobacteria; Enterobacterales; Enterobacteriaceae.